RNAcentral lists this ribosomal RNA (497 nucleotides) under uncultured bacterium. Its description in RNAcentral is "partial 16S ribosomal RNA". It matches the Rfam family "Bacterial small subunit ribosomal RNA", at positions 28 to 507 of the family's 1533-position model. The record is from RNAcentral.
GACGAACGCUGGCGGCGUGCCUAAUACAUGCAAGUUGAGCGCUGAAGGUUGGUCCUUGUACCAACUGGAUGAGCAGCGAACGGGUGAGUAACGCGUGGGGAAUCUGCCUUUGAGCGGGGGACAACAUUUGGAAACGAAUGCUAAUACCGCAUAAAAACUUUAAACACAAGUUUUAAGUUUGAAAGAUGCAAUUGCAUCACUCAAAGAUGAUCCCGCGUUGUAUUAGCUAGUUGGUGAGGUAAAGGCUCACCAAGGCGAUGAUACAUAGCCGACCUGAGAGGGUGAUCGGCCACAUUGGGAGUGAGACACGGCCCAAACUCCUACGGGAGGCAGCAGUAGGGAAUCUUCGGCAAUGGACGAAAGUCUGACCGAGCAACGCCGCGUGAGUGAAGAAGGGUUUCGGAUCGUAAAACUCUGUUGGUAGAGAAGAACGUUGGUGAGAGUGGAAAGCUCAUCAAGUGACGGUAACUACCCAGAAAGGGACGGCUAACUACGUG